GGCGAACGGGUGAGUAACGCGUGAGCAAUCUACCUUAGUUACAGGGAUAGCCCGAGGAAACUCGGAUUAAUACCUGAUAUUCUUUAUUUCUCGCAUGAGAAUAAAAGGAAAGGUCAGCCGAACUAAGAUGAGCUCGCGUUCUAUCAGCUAGUUGGUGAGGUAAAAGCUUACCAAGGCUACGACGGAUAGCUGGUCUGAGAGGACGAUCAGCCACACUGGGACUGAGACACGGCCCAGACUCCUACGGGAGGCUGCAGUAGGGAAUAUUGUGCAAUGAACGAAAGUUUGACACAGCGACACCGCGUGUGGGAUGACGGAUCUAGGUUUGUAAACCACUUUCAGGAGGGAAGAAAAUGACGGUACCUCCACAAGAAGCCCCGGCCAACUACGUGCCAGCAGCCGCGGUAAUACGUAGGGGGCGAGCGUUGUCCGGAUUUAUUGGGCGUAAAGAGCUCGUAGGCGGUUCAACAAGUCGGUCGUGAAAGUUCAGGGCUCAACCCUGAAAUGUCGAUCGAUACUGUUGUGACUAGGAUACGGUAGAGGUGAGUGGAAUUCCGAGUGUAGCGGUGAAAUGCGUAGAUAUUCGGAGGAACACCAAUUGCGAAGGCAGCUCACUGGACCGCUAUCGACGCUGAGGAGCGAAAGCUAGGGGAGCAAACAGGAUUGGAUACCCUGGUAGUCCUAGCUGUAAACGAUGGAUACUAGACGUAGGAACUGGAUUGACGGUUUCUGUGUCGUAGCUAACGCGUUAAGUAUCC
This 758-nucleotide ribosomal RNA is filed under the name uncultured marine bacterium. RNAcentral describes it as "bacterial SSU rRNA". It matches the Rfam family "Bacterial small subunit ribosomal RNA", at positions 97 to 869 of the family's 1533-position model. The record is from RNAcentral.